CCUACGGGAGGCAGCAGUGAGGAAUAUUGGUCAAUGGACGAGAGUCUGAACCAGCCAAGUAGCGUGAAGGAUGACUGCCCUAUGGGUUGUAAACUUCUUUUAUAUGGGAAUAAAAUGUUCCACGUGUGGGAUUUUGUAUGUACCAUAUGAAUAAGGAUCGGCUAACUCCGUGCCAGCAGCCGCGGUAAUACGGAGGAUCCGAGCGUUAUCCGGAUUUAUUGGGUUUAAAGGGAGCGUAGGUGGAUUGUUAAGUCAGUUGUGAAAGUUUGCGGCUCAACCGCAAAAUUGCAGUUGAAACUGGCAGUCUUGAGUACAGUAGAGGUGGGCGGAAUUCGUGGUGUAGCGGUGAAAUGCUUAGAUAUCACGAAGAACUCCGAUUGCGAAGGCAGUUCACUGGACUGCAACUGACACUGAGGCUCGAAAGUGUGGGUAUCAAACAGGAUUAGAUACCCCUGUAGUC
This 460-nucleotide ribosomal RNA is filed under the name uncultured bacterium. RNAcentral describes it as "partial 16S ribosomal RNA". It matches the Rfam family "Bacterial small subunit ribosomal RNA", at positions 338 to 795 of the family's 1533-position model. The record is from RNAcentral.